Molecule: ribosomal RNA, 490 nt
Filed under: uncultured bacterium
Lineage: Bacteria
Description: partial 16S ribosomal RNA
Rfam family: Bacterial small subunit ribosomal RNA
Source: RNAcentral
AUUGAACGCUGGCGGCAGGCCUAACACAUGCAAGUCGAACGGUAACAGGAAGAUGCUUGCUUCUUUGCUGACGAGUGGCGGACGGGUGAGUAAUGUCUGGGAAACUGCCUGAUGGAUGGGGAUAACUACUGGAAACGGUAGCUAAUACCGCAUAACGUCGCAAGACCAGAGAGGGUGGCCUUCGGGCCUCUUGCCUUCGGCUGUUCCCAGAUCGGAUUAGCUAGUAGGUGGGGUAACGGCACACCUAGGCGACGAUCCCUAGCUGGUCUGAGAGGAUGACCAGUCACACUGGAACUGAGACACGGUCCAGACUCCUACGGGAGGCAGCAGUGGGGAAUAUUGGACAAUGGGCGAAAGCCUGAUGCAGCCAUGCCGCGUGUAUGAAGAAGGUCUUCGGGUUGUAAAGUACUUUAAGCGGGGAGGAAGGGAAUAAAGUUAAUACCUUGGCUCAUUGACGUUACCAGCAGAAGAAGCACCGGCUAACUCCGUG